AGUGAACGCUGGCGGUAGGCCUAACACAUGCAAGUCGAGCGGCAGCACAGUAAGAGCUUGCUCUUACGGGUGGCGAGUGGCGGACGGGUGAGGAAUACAUCGGAAUCUACUUUUUCGUGGGGGAUAACGUAGGGAAACUUACGCUAAUACCGCAUACGACCUACGGGUGAAAGCAGGGGAUCUUCGGACCUUGCGCGAUUGAAUGGGCCGAUGUCGGAUUAGCUAGUUGGCGGGGUAAAGGCCCACCAAGGCGACGAUCCGUAGCUGGUCUGAGAGGAUGAUCAGCCACACUGGAACUGAGACACGGUCCAGACUCCUACGGGAGGCAGCAGUGGGGAAUAUUGGACAAUGGGCGCAAGCCUGAUCCAGCCAUGCCGCGUGGGUGAAGAAGGCCUUCGGGUUGUAAAGCCCUUUUGUUGGGAAAGAAAAGCAGCAGGUUAAUACCCCGCUGUUCUGACGGUACCCAAAGAAUAAGCACCGGCUAACUUCGUG
This 492-nucleotide ribosomal RNA is filed under the name uncultured bacterium. RNAcentral's name for it is "partial 16S ribosomal RNA". It matches the Rfam family "Bacterial small subunit ribosomal RNA", at positions 29 to 507 of the family's 1533-position model. The record is from RNAcentral.